GGACCGCAGGGCUGACUUUUGCACAAAUGAGUACCUGCAAUGCCCAGCGUCAACAAUGAUGCGGACCAGAUCUUCAACUGCAGCCCCAUCCAUCGCAUCUUCACGUAGUCAGGUUGUUAACCGCAUCAUCAAGAAGAGGAUUCGUGUCCGUGUGGAGCAUUGCAGCCAUCCAUGGCUAGGAGUUCCAGCUGACUCGACCCAGUUGCUGCUAUCUCCUUCAUCCAUGAGGAGUUCUAUGGUAAAAAAAUGAAAGAAUUUCGUUACUUCUAGAGGUGUUGGCCUAGUUUUGGGAACUAGUACUAUGUUGGACCAGUUGUGGGAGCUAGUGAUCGACCUGUGAGAUGUAUAUUCUGGGGAAUUGUGAAUAUGUUAUUUGAUAUGUGUUGAGAAAAUUUACUGUUAUUUGAUAUGUGCUGAGAAAAUUACUGUUA
Long non-coding RNA from Lolium rigidum, 431 nucleotides. RefSeq lists it as uncharacterized. The record is from RefSeq and is a predicted model, not a curated record. NCBI's taxonomy places the organism in Eukaryota, Viridiplantae, Streptophyta, Magnoliopsida, Poales, Poaceae. The transcript is spliced from 3 exons.